RNAcentral lists this ribosomal RNA (467 nucleotides) under uncultured bacterium. RNAcentral's name for it is "partial 16S ribosomal RNA". It matches the Rfam family "Bacterial small subunit ribosomal RNA", at positions 28 to 506 of the family's 1533-position model. The record is from RNAcentral.
GACGAACGCUGGCGGCGUGCUUAACACAUGCAAGUCGAACGGAAAGGCCCUGCUUUUGUGCGGUGCUCGGGUUGCGAACGGGGGAGUAACACUUGAGUAACCUGCCCUUGACUUUGGGUUAACUUCAUGAAACUUGGGCUAAUACCGGAUAGGAUCUCCUGCUGCAUGGUGGGGGUUCGUAAGUUUCGGCGGUUGGGGAUGGACUCGCGGCUUAUCAGCUUGUUGGUGGGGUAGUGGCUUACCAAGGCUUUGACGGAUAGCCGGCCUGAGUGGGUGACCGGCCACAUUGGGACUGAGAUACGCCCGAGACUCAUUCGGGAGGGAGGAGGGGGGAAUGUUGCACAGAGGGCGGAAGCAUGAUGGAGCAACGCCGGGUGCGGGAUGGAGGCAUGCGGGUUGUAAACCGCUUUCGCCUGUGACGAAGCGUGAGUGCGGGAAAUGGGUAAAGAAGCACCGGUAAACUACGU